ACGGGGGGUGCAAGCGUUGUUCGGAAUCAUUGGGCGUAAAGAGCGUGUAGGCGGCUUGAUAAGUCAGAUGUGAAAGCCCCGGGCUUAACCCGGGAAGUGCAUUUGAAACUGUCAGGCUUGAGUAGGGGAGAGGGAAGUGGAAUUCCUGGUGUAGAGGUGAAAUUCGUAGAUAUCAGGAGGAUCACCGGUGGCGAAGUCGACUUCCUGGCCCUAUACUGACGCUGAGACGGGAGGGCGUGGGUAGCAAGCAG
This 251-nucleotide ribosomal RNA is filed under the name uncultured prokaryote. RNAcentral describes it as "partial 16S rRNA". It matches the Rfam family "Bacterial small subunit ribosomal RNA", at positions 525 to 775 of the family's 1533-position model. The record is from RNAcentral.